AUAAAAAUUAAUUUUGAAAUAUGUGUGAUCACUUUGCGUUUAUUUGUUAACACACAUAAACUGGGAUGGCUGGGAUGUUUGCUGGAAAUGUUUGUUGGUUGUGGACUGUAUUGUAUUUUAUUUUCGUAUAUGUAUAAGUUUCACGAAUAUGCAAAUGUGGAUAUGUAAAAUUAUUAUUUUAAAUUAUGUACGUAUGUGAAUAAUUUUCUGGAAUGUACGUAAGUGAAUAUAUUUUCGGAAAUGUACGUAUGUAAAUAUGUUUCUGGAAUGUACGUAUGUAAAUAUGUUUCUGGAAUGUACGUAUGUGAAUAUAUUUUGGAAUGUACGUAUGUGAAUAUGUACAUAAAAAAUGGAAAUGGAAAAAAAACCCCGUGGAGUCGCAAAAUGGCGAUCGGUUGGAAAUAGUAAAACCGUACUUAUCUUUUUAUUCUUGAAAUUGAAGAAAAUCCACCGGUGCCGCUGGAAAUCGCAGAUCGAUCCGGCUCGAAGGACCAAAAAUUGAAAAGCUGGGGGGGUUGGCGGAUUUCUGCCCUUGGAGGAUGCUGGUGGAAAUGGCGACUCGCUGGGUUCUUUUUAUUUAAAUGUGAACUUUAUUUCAGAUAACUUAUUUCACUUAACUUGCACAACUUCACUUUGUGGCUUCGAAAUUAGAACUCACUUACUCUACUUAAAUCUAAUGCUAGGAGAGCGGGGGUGGAGACUGUUAACAGACCGAGAGCGAGAUGAGAGUUCAUCUGGACAUUACUGCUCUCGACUGUUAACGAAUAAUUUCGACAGUGUCCCCUCCUUGGCGCGGACACAAGGAAAUUCAAUUACUAAGCGAUGUACUGGAAUUAUUGGAGCAACGUGUGAGUUUUCUUAGCUCAGCACUAAAUGAUGAAAAGAAAGUUUUUAAAAAAGUGGCGACACCUAAUCCUUUUGAUGAACUAGCUGCUAUUGAUGGGGAAAAAAGUGUCCAGGAGAGACAAGAUACGAUUCCUGCAUCUACAUUAGUUGAGGCUGAUAAUACCGCCCUUAAUCCGGACCAUUCUCCUGUAACAACUUGGUGAUACUAUUUCGGAUUUUAAUCCAUCUGAUAAGCAAGCUGCUAUUAAAGGGGAAAAUAGUGUCCAAGAGGAUCAAGAUUCGGUUCUAGCUUCGUCCUCGGUUACCAGCUGCAAUUGAUGAGACCCUCCAGGCUCCAUAUUCUUUUGGUAAGCCUGAUGCUAUUGAUGGGGAAAAUAGUGUCCAAGAGGAUCAAAAUUCGGUUCUAGCUUCGACCUCGGAUUUUUCUGUUAACGAUUGAAGAUCCCAUUCCGUCUUUGGAUCCUUCUGAUGAAAUUUUCGCUGACGAGGGUCGCAUCCAAUCUUCUGAUCCUGAUUCACUUGCCGUGGACACCAGCGGUGUAUCAAUGAACUUUACGAAUAAAUCAAAGGAUGAUUCCAGCCAUAUGAGUGAACUUGGGCAUCAGAUGGAUUAGAGGGUUCAAAAUAUAGCUCUCCCGCCGAGGGCAAAUCAGAUGCGGUCUCUGCGUAGGCCAUAGAUAAGAAUAGAAUACGAAUCACACCAAUGUUACUUGUUAAGAAACUUCAUGAAAAAGAGACAGUUUGAAGAAGAUGAUUGCAUUAAAAUAUAGACGUCUUUUAUUCUAUCGCA
Drosophila elegans is the source of this 1636-nucleotide long non-coding RNA. RefSeq lists it as uncharacterized. NCBI's taxonomy places the organism in Eukaryota, Metazoa, Arthropoda, Insecta, Diptera, Drosophilidae. The transcript has 3 exons. The record is from RefSeq and is a predicted model, not a curated record.